UACGUAGGGGGCUAGCGUUGUCCGGAAUCAUUGGGCGUAAAGCGCGUGUAGGCGGUCCGGUAAGUCCGCUGUGAAAGUCGGGGGCUCAACCCUCGAAUGCCGGUGGAUACUGUCGGGCUAGAGUGCGGAAGAGGCGAGUGGAAUUCCUGGUGUAGCGGUGAAAUGCGCAGAUAUCAGGAGGAACACCAAUUACGAAGGCAGCUCGCUGGGACGUAACUGACGCUGAGACGCGAAAGCGUGGGGAGCAAACAGG
This 253-nucleotide ribosomal RNA is filed under the name uncultured bacterium. RNAcentral's name for it is "partial 16S ribosomal RNA". It matches the Rfam family "Bacterial small subunit ribosomal RNA", at positions 524 to 776 of the family's 1533-position model. The record is from RNAcentral.